This 253-nucleotide ribosomal RNA is filed under the name uncultured bacterium. Its description in RNAcentral is "partial 16S ribosomal RNA". It matches the Rfam family "Bacterial small subunit ribosomal RNA", at positions 524 to 776 of the family's 1533-position model. The record is from RNAcentral.
UACGUAGGGUGCGAGCGUUGUCCGGAUUUAUUGGGCGUAAAGAGCUCGUAGGCGGCUUGUUGCGUCGGCUGUGAAAUCCCGUGGCUUAACUGCGGGUCUGCAGCCGAUACAGGCAGGCUGGAGUUCGGUAGGGGAGACUGGAAUUCCUGGUGUAGCGGUGAAAUGCGCAGAUAUCAGGAGGAACACCGGUGGCGAAGGCGGGUCUCUGGGCCGAUACUGACGCUGAGGUGCGAAAGCGUGGGGAGCAAACAGG